This 2376-nucleotide long non-coding RNA is filed under the name Gigantopelta aegis. RNAcentral's name for it is "uncharacterized LOC121384704". The record is from RNAcentral. Lineage: Eukaryota; Metazoa; Mollusca; Gastropoda; Neomphalida; Peltospiridae.
UUUUAUCAGUCGAAAACAUCUUACAAUGCAACAAACUCGGGAAUGUCCCUUUAAAGUAACAUUUUAUUAUAAUUACACAAUUUCCGUUGUUAUAAGAUUUACUCUAUUCAGAUUGGACGACGUCGAAGAAAAACUGAAUGUUAUCCUUCAAUAAACCUCAGAAAAUGACGUUAGACGUUGAUUUGUGUGCAUUUUUUUUUUUUUUUUACUAAAUGUAGUGUGUUCAGGAGAUUAGUACAACCUCGUGUAAAAUUUAUGCACAAAGUUUAUGAAUUUGCUUGAUCAAGGGGAAGGUUCAACCGCCAGAACCCACCCUCUGCACACGCUCCUGUUUGUAAUUACAUAAAAAAUUUUAAUGAAUGUAUCUAUGUACAACAGUAACUGUCACAAACUGCAUAAAAUUGCCUAGCGUAGUGAAGCAAUUUUAACCUAAAUCUUCAAAUGGGACGUCAUUACGUAAAGGCGACCUUUGCAACAAUGUGCAAUUUUUGCAUGCAACAAAUAUCAUACGUCGUUGCAUCAUGUGUGCUAGCCUGCGAUGCAAUUUGUGUUGCAUGCAACUAAAAUUGCUCCGAUCAAACAUGUUUGAUUUUAUUGCAUGUAAUUGCAUCUAAUUGCACGCUGUCGCAAACGUGUGCGCCUUCGAUGCAACAAAACGUUGACGCAAUAAUUUAAACUGCCAAUGGACGGAUAGAUAGUGAUCACAUGACUCAAAAUGGCAGCCUCCAGCAGCAUGUGGUCUACAGAAAGAUGAAUUAGUGGUGAUGUGAUAGACAAUGCCAUGUCGUUUUGACACAUCCCCUGAAUAUAUCAACUGGGCUAAAAGGGAGAUGUGUCUUGCAGAGAGAAUCUGCGCUUGGAAUAGGCCCUACCAGGUAUGUUUAUAUAGGUCACGUCAUCACUGCAAAACUAAAAUUGCUGCUUGUCGCACGUACGUGCGGAAUAGUGCAACGAGAAAAAAGUUGCUUGCAAUCAUGCAAUUUCAAUUGCAUGCGACAAAGUUGCAAAUGUCUGCGGUGGCCUUAAAACAGAUCAUGGGAAGAACGUUAUAAACUGAUUUUGUGAAUGAUGUGAACUAAAUAAGUUGUGCCUUUUGUAAUUUUAAUAAUUGUUUGUCGUUUUGUUGUGAAUUUAUCGACAUAUAAAGUUCACAAAUUUAGUAUAAAAUCGCUUCGCUACGCUAUGUGAAUGUAUACCAUUUGAGACUGUUAGGCCUAUAUAAGAAUUGUUCAUCUUUUUUUCUUUUUUUUUGCGAAUUCAUCGAUUUAUAAGUCACAAAUUGUAUAAAAUCGCAUAGUGUAGCGAAGCGAUUGUAUACUAAAUUUAUGGCUUAUACAUCGAUACAUGUUCUUCCCAUGAUCUGCUUUACGUAAUGACGCAAUUUUCUGAGUAGUUUAGUUUAAAAUCCUUCACUUCGCUAAGCAAUUUUAUGCAGUUUGUGAGUUGUACAUCGAUAAAUUCAUUUAAAAAAAAUUACAAACAGAUUUUAUAUAAUUACAAAGACAGGAGAGUGUACAGAGAGUAGGUUAUGGCAGUCGAACUCUCCCCUUGAUCAAUACUUUUCAGGGGAAGUAUGUCUUAACCCCCAAAAUUUUUAUCUAGCCAGUUUAGCCUCUUCUAAAAUGUAUGCACAAGCGCCUGGACACACCAUAAUUAGUUAAAAUACACAUAAAUCAGCUUCUAGCGUCCUUUCCGUGACCUGUUUUACGUAAUGAUGUCCCAGGUAGCGUAAUGACGUCAUUUUCUGAGGUAUAUCGAAGGAUAAGUCAAUUUUUCUUCGACGUCUUCUAAUCAGAAUUGAGGAAAUCGUAUAAACGCGGAAAUUUUGUAAUGAAAUAUCGAUAAAUUCACAAGAAAAUGACAAAUAAGACAAUUCUUAUUUAACAGUGAAAACGGCGGUAAACGCGAACUCUUUAAACUAAGUGACGUCAUUUUGUGCGUUUGCCAAACCGUGAUGACGUCAUCCGUAGUACAAACAACCUCAUUGGUUUGUAAGCAUCAAAUCUUUCAACAGCAUUGUAGGUUACACCAAUGACAAAUGAGGUAGUGGUUUGUGUCCAUUAUUUUUUCAAGAGUUCAGAUCUGGACAAACUUUGGAGGAAAUCUAACGGCAAUUAAAGGUCGAGUAUGGGCAGCAAUAAUUGUCUUCCUUAGUACUAAUGGGUGGAUGAAUACCUUACAGUCGCAAUGCCAGCAGUGCCCACAAACUUUCCAUCCAUGAAGCCGUUUCCCUAAUGGAAAGCCCAUCAAGUAUCGAUUUGUGUAUUCUCGGAACCGGCGUGACGUCACACGGCCUAGUUACCGAUCAUCAGGGUCUUUGGGGGUGAAGCAAAGCCAUACUUGUUUACAUAGAAUAAAGUUAUUAUAUCAACUUUU